This is a non-coding RNA of Potamilus streckersoni, 70 nucleotides long. The record is from the annotation of a GenBank genome assembly. Lineage: Eukaryota; Metazoa; Mollusca; Bivalvia; Unionida; Unionidae.
AGGGUGGCAUAGUGUUAAGAGCGUCAGCCUCGGAUGCUGAGUGUGGCGGGUUCGAACCCCGGCUGAGUUG